GCCGGGCAUGGUGGCAGGUGCCUGUAAUCCCAGCUACUGUGGAGGCUGAGGCAGGAGAAUCGCUUGAAUCCAGGAGGCGGUGGUUGUGGUGAGCUGAGAACAUGCCACUGCACUCCAGCCUGGGCAANNNNNNNNNNUUGCCCAGGCUGGAGUGCAGUGGCAUGUUCUCAGCUCACCACAACCACCGCCUCCUGGAUUCAAGCGAUUCUCCUGCCUCAG
Non-coding RNA from Chlorocebus sabaeus (green monkey), 219 nucleotides. It matches the Rfam family "Metazoan signal recognition particle RNA". From Rfam's summary of the family: The signal recognition particle (SRP) is a universally conserved ribonucleoprotein. It is involved in the co-translational targeting of proteins to membranes. Lineage: Eukaryota; Metazoa; Chordata; Mammalia; Primates; Cercopithecidae. The record is from Rfam.